Raphanus sativus (radish) is the source of this 471-nucleotide long non-coding RNA. RefSeq lists it as uncharacterized. The transcript has 3 exons. NCBI's taxonomy places the organism in Eukaryota, Viridiplantae, Streptophyta, Magnoliopsida, Brassicales, Brassicaceae. The record is from RefSeq and is a predicted model, not a curated record.
UAAAUCUCUUUUUGUUUCUUUCUUCUUUUCUUGUUCUUUUUCCCUCUCUCCUUCGUUGGAUUGUUCUUCUUCCAAUGUUCUUCUUCCAAUCUAUCUCUUUCUCCGUAACAAUCAACUCAUUUCUCCAUCUCCUCACCGGUUUCACCUCCUCACCAUCACCACGGAUCUGAGAACGAGCAGACGGUGGAAAAGACCCGACCCCUCCCUUCUCUCUACUCCUUCCGCGAGUUACUCAAGAGGGAAGGAGAAGUGGUGUUUGGGAAGAUGAUGGAACGGAAGAAACAAAUGGUGUGACGGUGCGACGCCUCAGGUGAAGCGUAGUGCGGCGGUGGCAGAUGGUGGUGCGGCGGUGGCAGGUGGUGGUGCGGCGGUGGUGUAUUUCUAUGUUUAUACGUAUUUAUGUAUAGUAUAAAUAAUAAUGUGUAUUUUAUGUUUUAAUAUUAAUUAAUAAAAAUUAUUUGUUUGUUUUUA